UUCCCCAGAGAAUGCCUGCACCUCUGCAAGUCAGAACUUUGCAUGGAGACUCCGAGGAAUGGCCUAGAUAGAGCGUAAAAGGGGCAGAAAGAGGCUGCUUUUGCCAUCAUCUGCCUGCCUGCCACGGACUGUUUCGCCUCAGCAACACCCCGUCACACCACCCAGCCUUGGAGCCAGCUGAUUAUGGACUGAAACCUCCACACACUGUGAGAUAAAAAAGGAGAUUCCAGCCGCUCAGUCAGCAAAACUCAGCCUUCUUCUAGCAGAGAAUCUGCCAGCCAAUGUCGGACAGAAAAUGAGGUCGUGACGGUCCACAAAUGUCCCUCACCCAGCCUGGAGCAGACUUCCUACAGGAGUAACUCAGUGUAAUGCCCGAAUAAAGACUUAAGUGAAAAAGGUUGUCGGUUUCUAAAACCAGCAAUGCUGUUUGAUGAAAUUAA
Non-coding RNA from Heterocephalus glaber (naked mole-rat), 440 nucleotides. Lineage: Eukaryota; Metazoa; Chordata; Mammalia; Rodentia; Bathyergidae. The record is from RefSeq and is a predicted model, not a curated record.